RNAcentral lists this ribosomal RNA (329 nucleotides) under uncultured eukaryote. RNAcentral's name for it is "partial 18S ribosomal RNA". It matches the Rfam family "Eukaryotic small subunit ribosomal RNA", at positions 1470 to 1796 of the family's 1831-position model. The record is from RNAcentral.
CCCUUAGAUGUUCUGGGCCGCACGCGCGCUACACUGACGAUGGCAACGAGUUUUUCCUUCGCCGAAAGGUGUGGGUAAUCUUUUGAAACAUCGUCGUGCUGGGGAUAGAUCAUUGCAAUUUUUGAUCUUGAACGAGGAAUUCCUAGUAAGCGCGAGUCAUCAGCUCGCGUUGAUUACGUCCCUGCCCUUUGUACACACCGCCCGUCGCUCCUACCGAUUGAAGUUUUCGGUGAGUUGACAGGAGGAUUUUUUUGAAACUGGUUCGCCAGUGGAUUUUAGAUCCAAAUGCCAACGAAUCGAUGGCUUUAGAGGAAGGAGAAGUCGUAACA